CGUGCAGGCGGGUUGGUAAGUCAGAUGUGAAAGCCCUGGGCUUAACCCAGGAAGUGCAUUUGAAACUGCCAUCCUUGAGUAUGGGAGAGGGGAGUGGAAUUCCCAAUGUAGAGGUGAAAUUCGUAGAUAUUGGGAGGAACACCCGUGGCGAAGGCGACUCUCUGGACCAAUACUGACGCUGAGACGCGAAAGCGUGGGGAGCAAACA
This 207-nucleotide ribosomal RNA is filed under the name uncultured bacterium. RNAcentral describes it as "partial 16S ribosomal RNA". It matches the Rfam family "Bacterial small subunit ribosomal RNA", at positions 568 to 774 of the family's 1533-position model. The record is from RNAcentral.